Homo sapiens (human) is the source of this 2958-nucleotide long non-coding RNA. RefSeq lists it as uncharacterized. The transcript is spliced from 2 exons. NCBI's taxonomy places the organism in Eukaryota, Metazoa, Chordata, Mammalia, Primates, Hominidae. The record is from RefSeq and is a predicted model, not a curated record.
UGCUGUGGUGUGGGGUGGGGAAGGGAGGGGAGGGGAGGUUGUUGAGGGGACAUGCAGGAAAGAGAUUAGGAAAUUCAGAACAGGAGGACACAAGGGCAGGGGAAUGCUGAGGCCAAGGCCUUCUCCCACCACCUGCCUCCUGCGGGAGUGAUUCCACAGUGCAGAGGGAGAGCCAUUUGGAGGUCCGGCACCCGCUCUGCCCAUGCCUAUGCUUCAGGCUCUGUGAGAAGGCUGGACUCCUUCUGGAACUUCAGGACCUUGGAUGCUCCCCUCCUCUGCUCCUGCCUCCCUUCCCCCAGCCCUGGGGUGUGUCAGAUGUGUGUUUUCUCCUGGACUCAGCUGAAGCAAGAUUAUACAAUGAGCUGUCUUUGUUCAUGAUGUGGUUUCUUUCCAAGCUUUAGAGGAUCAGAAGUGCUGGCCUUUGUCUCUCUGCAGCUUCAGAACUCCAGCUUCUAGCCCUGUCUGGCGAAGAGGAAAGUGGUUUUAUAACUCUCAGCUGGUGUAGUAGCAGUCUCAGUACCAAUAUGACUUCUAGGUGAAAUAUAUACAUGUCUUAAAGGGGUAAAGUGGAGAAGCCAGAAGGGUCAGGGCACCUGUGUUCUAGGCUUUACUCAGCCUUUUAUCAAUUAUAUGACCUUGGACAAGUCUCCAAAUUUUAGCUUCCUUACUGUGUGAUGGAGACAACGAUGCUAUCAGCCUCCUAAAGUUGGAUUAGAAGACACAAUGUGCAUGAACACAUUGGGUAAACUACAAAGGAUCAAGUCAUGCAUAAAUGUCAACUGGGGGAAUAAAACUAUUGGACGCAUCCCCCACUAGCGUUUCAAUGGGACAUCAUGAGAAUAGCAUAUGCUCCUCACCCCUGUCAGAGACAGGACCUAGUUGGAUGGAUCAUUCUCUGUGAUAAUUCUUAUGGCAGAAUGAACUCACAGGCGGCCUCCCUACCUUUCAUCCUGGUGAUGUUAGGAAUUAGUCUGACUACCAUUAGUCAUUCCAGAUGCUGAGAACAGUGAACAACCGACAUGGUGACACUUCUACUAUAAGCCAAGCUCAGGAACGGGUGAUGCUCCUUAGAUGAAUUAAUGCUGGGGCUAUUGUUUUAUAAGGGGCAGGGUCAAAGACAAGCUCAGAAAGAUAGCCCUUCUUCAUAAGAGACCAGAUAAUUGGUGCUGAGAAAAAAGCUAGUGCUCAUCAUGGAUGGAGACAGGCUUGCUUCUAGGCUACUGAGGACAUCGACCACAGCUCUCCCAUGGGAGACUAAAAGGCUUCCAUCACACUGAUGCCAGCUAGGCCAUCAAUAAGGGGGCUUUCUGUGGGAAGGGAUGGGGCAGGGACACUGGUCCAGGCAACCAGAAAGAAGGGACUUUAGGAAAAGGGUAGGAAGUCAAAGAGAGAGACCAAGAGGUCUGGAGAAGAAUGGGACAGAAGUCUAUCUCAAGGUCAAUGUCAGGUGGGCUCCUUUCUUUGUUGGUUCUUGGAAGUUAAAAAGUGAACUUUCCACCAGUGUAUUGCUCUUAAGAUCCACCUGCUCCUCAAGUGGAAUGAACCAAUAAGCCUUGUAUAUCUCCAUUUCACUUCUCUAUAUUUGACCUGGGACACAUUCUCCAGGACGAAGGUGUUCAGAAAAGCACAGAACUCUUUCCCCAGUUUCUUUCAGGGGAUUUCUCUGAGUAGAAUGGAGGAGCCCUGGACUCUGAUGGGUGACCGUGUUGAGUCAUCAUGGUUACUGGCAUCAGAAGAGGGCUCCAGGGGCCAGCGGUGGAGAUGACCACCCUGCCCCAGUGUGAGAGACUGAGUUUCCUGAGGGCUGUUCACAAGUUAGCGAAAAAUAACUUUUAAGAAACCUGAGUAAUGACAUCUUCUCAGGGUCUAGCCACAAAUGUUUCUGAUUGCACAUUCUGGCUAUAGAUACUAAUACUUGGGUUGGAAAUAGACCCAAUAGGUCAUCUUGUCCAUCCUCCUGCCUCAGGCAGGACUAAUGAUAUAUGUUUGUCUUAUUCUUCCCCUAGAACUCCAGGGGUCAAAAUACUGUAUAUUCCUCCACUCAUCCAUCCAUCCAUCCAUCCGUCAUUUAUUGAAACAUGAGUAGGACAGUGGACCUCUCCUUUAACAACUCAUGGUAUAGUCUUUUCAGAGUUUCCAAUCCCUAACCAGCAAGAGUAAUUUCUAAUGUCUAAACUAAAUGUCUAAUCUAAUCCAGUGUCUAAUUUCUAACAUCUAAUCUAAUGUCUUCAUUUCGUAAAUAAAGAGAAGGAUAAAACAGGCUCAUUCAUUCAUUCACGCAUAUGCAAAUGCAUGCAUUCAUUCCACAAAUACUUCUGAGCAUGUUGUCUGUUCCAAGUGAAUUGGAAGGCACACCUUUGUUUUGGAUAUGCCACUUACCUUUCAUGUUCACUAGGUACAUCCUAAGACUGGGAACUCAAUCAGCAUUGAAAAUGCGGUCAAGAAAAGCUCAUAUGUAACUACGUAUUUGGACAAAAUGUAGCUCCUACAACUCCUUCCAUUUAAGGAUCUCAAAAUAUCUAAGAGCAUGAUCAUUGCCCAGAGGGAGUGAUCGUGUGUUGAGGGUUUCAUCCCAGCUGGCAUUCGGGCGGCUCCAGAAUUCCUAAUUCUUUGCCACGAAACUGUUUCCAGAGGAGCAGGUAAGCAAGGCUGGGUUCUUUUGCCUCUGUCUGAACCUGCUCCCCAGCCCUUCCCUUGAGUUCUGUACCCUCUUCCCCCAUCUUGGGUCCUUUCAGCUUCCACAUCUUCUUGAAGCAAAAGGGGAGAAGGUGGGCUGAGAGUGGGACAGAAAUACCCCCUUGAACUCUCAGCCUCUCCUGAUUCAUCAAAGUGGGGAAGUUGGUUGCUGGAAUGAGUGGGGGCGGAGAAGAGAGGAAGAGAGGGCUCUGCAGGCUGGGAAUGAUCCAGAACCCUCAUUAAUGUCUGACACCUCCAAUAAAAGCUGCAGAUUCCCCAAAA